AGUGGGACUGCUGGAUCAUAUGGCAGAUCUUUUAAUUUUUUGAGGAAUCUUCACACUUUCUCCCAUAAUAGCUGCACCAUUUUGUACACCCACCAACAGU
This 100-nucleotide microRNA precursor is filed under the name Marmota monax (woodchuck). The record is from RNAcentral. Lineage: Eukaryota; Metazoa; Chordata; Mammalia; Rodentia; Sciuridae.